This 843-nucleotide long non-coding RNA is filed under the name Panax ginseng (ginseng). Its description in RNAcentral is "long non-coding RNA (PGIN_LNC001672)". The record is from RNAcentral. Lineage: Eukaryota; Viridiplantae; Streptophyta; Magnoliopsida; Apiales; Araliaceae.
GAAGGAUUAGAUCAAGAUUCAAAGCUAAAAAGGUAUAACCAAGUUUUUAUUUUUGAUCUUUGUUGCUUGAGAAUUUUUUGUGUUUAUGUGUUUAAGAUAUUGCUAGAAGAUGUUUUUAGUGGUUAUAUGAUGAUCCAUGAUGGAUCCAUAGCACCAAAGUGAGUAAAAGUACGUUUUUCUAAAAUUGUUCAAGAACAAAAUCUGUGGUCUGACAACCUAAUGUCAGGCGCCACAGAUCGUUACUCGUUUGUUGUUUUUGUUAUUUAAAAGCUUUAAGUUAUAGCCUGGUAUAUGGUCUUUAGUCUGCAAAAGAAAUCAGAGCUAUUUUAUGUCAGGAUCAGGAGUUAUUAACGGUCAAAACCCGUUGACCGGGAUUGACCGAGUAAAAAUCUGGGUUACCCAGAAAGUGAAAAACCGAACCUGACAAGAUCUUUGAAGGUCCCUAUCUGUCCGGUUGAUUGUUGUUUGUUGAUGUUGUUGUAUGCAUGUUGUAGACUGUAAUAUCGAGUCCAAGAACCUGCCUUUAUAUUCCAUAAACAUCAAAUGUAUUGGAUUUUAUGGAUGGUCAAACUAGACCACCCGAACUGAUUAUUACUUUUCUGGAAAACCCAGAAACAGUUAGAACAACUGUUCUGACAUACUUUGACCAUAUGUUUCAUGUUGAUUCGGUUGUUGAUAAACAAAUUUCUUGCUUUAGUAUUGUUCACUGACACAUGGACUACAUGUUCAAACUUUUAUAUCACAUAAACAAUGAACCGAAAGCAGAAAUAAUUGAGGUUGAAUAUGGCAACUCGAACUGCUCAUGCCCAGAAAAUUCCCAGGUCACGUUGUCAGUGAUUUUAG